GGUGGUUUAUAAAAGCAGAGUGAGGUUGCACUCCAGCCUCCAGCAGGCGUGGCUUACUGUCUGAUAUAGAAAUUUUCUCUUAACAUCUCAUUCCUCUCAUCUAAGCUGUAAGUUAACAGGAACUCAUACUCUUCUCAGCCCCACUGCUAAACCAUGGCAACUGUCACCAUUGAGUACUGUAAAGACUGAAGUUAUGCAUACCGCUACCAGGAAUUAGCUGGAGUUCUCCGGCAGAUUCCUGGUAUGAAGGUAAAGGGAGUCACUGGGAAGCCAGACAGCUUUGAGGUGUCACUGGGGGAUGAGCUGAUUUACUCGAAGCUGGAGACUAAACAGUUUCCAGAUGUUGAACAGCUGGCAGCGAAGGUGAGGGAGAAGGUUCCUGGAGGAAACGCCAAGAGCAAAUCCAAAACAAAGAGGAAAUGUGCUCUCCAGUAAAAAGAAAAAAA
Molecule: long non-coding RNA, 446 nt
Organism: Cyprinodon tularosa
Lineage: Eukaryota; Metazoa; Chordata; Actinopteri; Cyprinodontiformes; Cyprinodontidae
Exons: 4
Source: RefSeq, a predicted model, not a curated record